AAACCGCCUAGAGGUAAACGGGUGGAUCCGCAAAAGUCGGCCCGCGGAAUUCAGCUCGGAAGGCCCGCGCCCGUGGCUUGUUUGGGAGAUCCGCUUGUGGACUCCCCGGGCGAUGGUUCGGACGCGGGUGAUCCGUGUGCACUUUCCGCGGGCAGAGCGCCACGACCGGUUCUCGGGCGGUCAGACGGCGGCUGGGAAGGUAGGUGGGCGCCUUCGCGGGCGCUGACUGUUAGAGCCCAGCCUGUCCCGAUCCGCUUGGCAAGAGGACCGAGGAGCUGCCGCCGGCGCAAGGCCGCUUCGCUCCCCUCCCGGGACGUUUACGAAUGGUGGAGACUGGGUUCUGCCCGUGUCCGCCGACCGCUUUCCGGGAUGGGGCGGGGUGAGGGAGCCUGUCGGCUGAGGGUCAGUGGCGAAUCGGUCGGCCCUCCACCCGACCCGUCUUGAA
Molecule: ribosomal RNA, 445 nt
Filed under: Opisthosiphon bahamense
Lineage: Eukaryota; Metazoa; Mollusca; Gastropoda; Littorinimorpha; Pomatiidae
Description: partial 28S ribosomal RNA
Source: RNAcentral